Molecule: long non-coding RNA, 1092 nt
Organism: Bos taurus (domestic cattle)
Lineage: Eukaryota; Metazoa; Chordata; Mammalia; Artiodactyla; Bovidae
Source: Ensembl
AGGUAGAGGAGUGGAGUGUGUAAAGACGCCAAGGUGGACAAGAGAAGGGCACCUGGAAGAACCACAAGGAACCAAUUUGGGUGGAGUCGUGAACGAUGGGAAUGUGCCAGUCAUGCAGGGAGUAAGCUGUCCUGCAAUGUAGGGAGGCAGUGCACUCUCUGUGGAAAAGGAUCUUGGUUUCCUGUUCAUGAGUGGGGCUAAGAGAAGUCACUCUAGCCUUCAACUGCAUCUGGAGGAUUCUUUACCACUAGUCCCAGCUGGGAAGGAUUCUUCACCACUGAGCCACCAGGAAAGCCCUUUGGGAGAACCGAGGCCUCAAGAAGCUAAGAAGUCUGCCCAAAGGCUCACAACUAUUAAAGGACAGAGCUAGGAUCUGGCAAAGAGCCCUAAUGUAAUAAGUAUGGUCCUAUGGCUGAACUUCACCCCUGACUCAACUCCCAGGAGAUGUUAGCUUUCAAAGGCCCGGUUCCCAGAAAACCUUCCACCAUCCUGGCAUCUAGGAAGCUGCCUCCGUCUCUUAUACAAAACACUACUGUGCCCACCUGAUCCCACUUUUUUUUUCAGUCUCCAAAAACGUGAUCGUCUCUCAUGAUGCCAAUUAUGCAGAAACAAUGGACUUCUGCUCAAUAGUUAACUAUUCACCAUGUAUGAAAGAAAAUCCUGGAAUGUUUACUUCAAAUAUGAAAGUGCCGGCUCAAAGGAAAACUCUUUUAAUAAUUCUCUGGAGUAGGGGAAGAGUUCUAGAGGAAGCCUUCUUGCAACUUUAACCAAAAUGUCGUGGAUUGUGUAUACGAUAAGAGCAGAAUGUCUUGAUCCCAGGAGAAUACACAGAAACAGAGGAGGUAAUUGGAUUAAUCAUUUUGACACCUGAAAGGAUGACAAGAAACUUUUAACCUACCAAUAAUCAGCGGAGGGAGCUGUCAUUGUAGAUGGCUCAGCCAAACUAUGGGGUAUCAUCACAUUAGCUAACUGCCUGGCCAAUUAGAGACGUGUAAUUCUUUCAUAUACUUAGCUUGAAAGUGAAGAUGAUUCAAAACAGUUUCCUUGUCUCUGACACGUAUCCAAAUUUUUAAUAACAGCUAAGCCCUUUAC